ACAGAGGGGGCAAGCGUUAUUCGGAAUUAUUGGGCGUAAAGGGCGCGUAGGCGGCCUUGUAAGUCUUGGGUGAAAUCCCUCAGCUCAACUGAGGAACUGCCUCGGAAACUGCAAGGCUUGAGGCCGGGAGAGGGUAGUGGAAUUCCCAGUGUAGCGGUGAAAUGCGUAGAUAUUGGGAGGAACACCGGUGGCGAAGGCGGCUACCUGGACCGGUUCUGACGCUGAUGCGCGAAAGCGUGGGUAGCAAACAGGAUUAGAUACCCUGGUAGUCCACGCUGUAAACGAUGGGUGCUCGGUGUCGCGGGUAUCGACCCCUGCGGUGCCUUAGUUAACACGUUAAGCACCCCGCCUGGGGAGUACGGUCGCAAGGCUG
Molecule: ribosomal RNA, 373 nt
Filed under: uncultured bacterium
Lineage: Bacteria
Description: bacterial SSU rRNA
Rfam family: Bacterial small subunit ribosomal RNA
Source: RNAcentral